GGCAGGGUAGUUUAGUGGAAAAACUCCAGACCCUCACUCUGGCAUACAGCGGUUCGAUUCCGCUUCCUGCUU
RNAcentral lists this transfer RNA (72 nucleotides) under Ruminococcus sp. RNAcentral describes it as "tRNA-Glu". It matches the Rfam family "tRNA". Rfam says of the family: Transfer RNA (tRNA) molecules are approximately 80 nucleotides in length. Lineage: Bacteria; Bacillati; Bacillota; Clostridia; Eubacteriales; Oscillospiraceae. The record is from RNAcentral.